UACAGAGGGGGCAAGCGUUGUUCGGAAUUACUGGGCGUAAAGGGCUCGUAGGCGGCCAACUAAGUCGGAUGUGAAAUCCCCAGGCUUAACCUGGGAACUGCAUCCGAUACUGGAUGGCUUGAAUUCGGGAGAGGGAUGCAGAAUUCCAGGUGUAGCGGUGAAAUGCGUAGAUAUCUGAAGGAACAUCAGUGGCGAAAGCGACUUCCUGGACCAAUACUGACGCUCAUGUGCGAAAGCGUGGGGAGCAAACAGG
This 253-nucleotide ribosomal RNA is filed under the name uncultured bacterium. RNAcentral's name for it is "partial 16S ribosomal RNA". It matches the Rfam family "Bacterial small subunit ribosomal RNA", at positions 524 to 776 of the family's 1533-position model. The record is from RNAcentral.